Molecule: long non-coding RNA, 869 nt
Organism: Metopolophium dirhodum (rose-grain aphid)
Lineage: Eukaryota; Metazoa; Arthropoda; Insecta; Hemiptera; Aphididae
Exons: 3
Source: RefSeq, a predicted model, not a curated record
UUGUAAAUGUGGGCUAGAGGCUUAUUUAUCUUACGAGUAUUUGAUAUUUUUUUAUUAUUAUAAUCUCCAACUGUUGAAUAAUGCCAAAGUGUUGUGUCAAAGAUUGUAGAUAUCGCAAUGAAUCCUUAUUUAGUGUGCCUAAAAAUUUAAAAAAUGAAUGGGAAAUAGCACUAAAUAUGAAUUUAAACCACAAUUCAAGGAUAUGUGCUACUCACUUUAAUCCAGAUGAUAUUAUUGCAACGUGGGAAUCCGGUGUUGGUGCGAGUAAAUAUUCUAUUUGUUUGAAAAGACCAAAGCUUAAAGCUGGUACAAUACCAGUUAAAAUAUUGAAAAUCAAUGAAGAUUUAAUUUUUUCAAACAAUGAUGUACAUUGUGUACAACAUGAUCAUACAUACUUCAAAUUUGAAAAUACACCUGAUCCUCAAUCAUAUCUUAAACCGUGAUUAUUACUAGGAUUUCAUUCAUGUCCUUUUAUUACAGUGUUUUAAAAGAUGAAAUUAAGCCAAUGCAUAGAAUACGAAUACAUACAGAAAUACCUGUUGAUAAUAACAAAUAGAAUUAAUUAUGUAUAAUAAAAAAAAAAUAGUUAUUGUAAAAUAGAAAAUGACUUUUCUGUUGUAUACAUUUUUUUCAUUAGGAAUAAUAUGCUUCAUAUUAUGCGAGGGGCCGAGGGCCAUUGGCUGUUUAAUGUUCAUUAAUUUUGUACCAUUACUAUAUCAUCUAUACUCUGUUUCAAAGGAGAACAAUCUCGCUUUGUGCUUUGUGAAUGAUGUGAUUGGCGAGUUCAGAACCACUUUAACACUAAGUUGUUGGUAGGAGAAGCAAAGCACUGACUAAAAUUUGUAAAAAAUUUUGUAAUUUAGAGUAUA